RNAcentral lists this ribosomal RNA (637 nucleotides) under Phenylobacterium sp. RNAcentral's name for it is "bacterial SSU rRNA". It matches the Rfam family "Bacterial small subunit ribosomal RNA", at positions 67 to 752 of the family's 1533-position model. Lineage: Bacteria; Pseudomonadati; Pseudomonadota; Alphaproteobacteria; Caulobacterales; Caulobacteraceae. The record is from RNAcentral.
CGCACCUUCGGGUGAGCGGCGGACGGGUGAGUAACGCGUGGGAACGUGCCCUAAGGUACGGAACAACUGAGGGAAACUUCAGCUAAUACCGUAUGUGCCCUUCGGGGGAAAGAUUUAUCGCCUUAGGAGCGGCCCGCGUUGGAUUAGCUAGUUGGUGGGGUAAAGGCCCACCAAGGCUACGAUCCAUAGCUGGUCUGAGAGGAUGAUCAGCCACACUGGGACUGAGACACGGCCCAGACUCCUACGGGAGGCAGCAGUAGGGAAUCUUGCGCAAUGGGCGAAAGCCUGACGCAGCCAUGCCGCGUGAAUGAUGAAGGUCUUAGGAUUGUAAAAUUCUUUCACCGGGGAAGAUAAUGACGGUACCCGGAGAAGAAGCCCCGGCUAACUUCGUGCCAGCAGCCGCGGUAAUACGAAGGGGGCUAGCGUUGCUCGGAAUUACUGGGCGUAAAGGGCGCGUAGGCGGAUAGUUUAGUCAGAGGUGAAAGCCCAGGGCUCAACCUUGGAAUUGCCUUUGAUACUGGCUAUCUUGAGUUCGGGAGAGGUGAGUGGAAUGCCGAGUGUAGAGGUGAAAUUCGUAGAUAUUCGGCGGAACACCAGUGGCCGAAGGCGACUCACUGGCCCGAUACUGACGCUGAGC